CUUUGGAUCAAACCUGAACCUUAUAUGUAUUGCUAGCUAGACAUAGUCAACUCUUCAAUCUCCUUUGACUCAUAACUUAAUUCUCAAUUAAGUUAGCUUAUGUAUUCAAUCAAGUCAAGUACUUUCAAAUUGUACAUAUAAAUAUAGGCCAACACUUUUCGAUGGUGUCUAACUUGUAUGUGUGACUCUAUAAGUUAAAACACUA
Molecule: long non-coding RNA, 205 nt
Filed under: Elaeis guineensis (African oil palm)
Lineage: Eukaryota; Viridiplantae; Streptophyta; Magnoliopsida; Arecales; Arecaceae
Description: long non-coding RNA (EGUI_LNC050689)
Source: RNAcentral